GCACAAAUAUUUUAUUAAGGAACUGCACAAAUGACCUGCUGUAUGUUAUUAAUAGACAUUCUUCUUUAAAUGCUGCACACUAUUGACAUUUUAACGGAAAAUAUAAUUGCACCAAAUUAUAUACAGAUGCGUGUGUUUUUUUAAAAUGUAAUACAUUAUCAUUAGCAUUUUUGCAGUAUUGUAUGUCAAUGAUUAUUUAUAUAUAAACAAAGCACAAAAUCCUAGCAUAGUUAUGGUAAACUGCGCAAAUAUCAACUGAUGGGUACUAUAUUUCCCAUGAUGCUUAGCUUAGUCAGCCAUUUAUGGACAAAAUACAAUUCAAUACAAUUCAAAAUUCAUGGGGUAUAACUGCAGAUAUCACUGUUCUAGCAGUUAUUGUAAAAACUUACUUUACUGGAAAAAAAAGCAAUUAAUUAAUUAUCCAUUACCCAUUUUGCCCACUUCCAAAUGUGUAAUAAAUUUUGCACUAAUGUUAUUAUUAUUAAUUUAUAAUUAAAAAUCAUAUAAUUCAGUUCAACAACAUCUGUAAACAAUAUCCAUAAGACUCUUUCUUAGUUAAUUGUAACCCUUUAUUUUCAGAGGGUGCACUGAGCAUGUCCCACAGGUUUCUACUCAGCAUGUGUAUUUUUGAUCGGUUGUUCAGCAAUCUCCAGUUAUUUCAUUCAUGAAAAUACAUGAAUAAAAUAACUACACAAGACUGAAAUGUGGUUUCUUCUAUUUAUUUGAGCAAGCAGUGGGCUUAUAGCUCCAGUGGUUAUUAAAAAUGAAUACAGUUAUAAGAAAACAAUUUUAAAGAGAUAGGGAGCGUUCCUUGCGCUAUAACCCCAUGCGCCAUCAUCACACCAUAAUGUGAAGGGCAAAGGUUGUUGUAAUGCCUAGAAUACCUUUCAUGUCACAUUGACUACAUGCUGUACUUUAAAAUUAAACUAAAAUAAUCUUGCCAUCUAUUAGACAAAAAGGGGACAAAUAUUUUAUUUUUAUUUUGCUUGCGCAUUGCUGUGUUUAAAUUCACUAGAUGAUUAUUUUGGCUAGAUAGAAACCAAACAAUAACAUUGGUAAAUAUAUGUUCUAAAUAACACUAUUGACUAUAGAGUUUAAUAUAUAUUUUAAUAUAUUUGAUGUAGACCCUGGAGAUAUGUGUACAGUGGAUGUGUCCUUAAUAAACAAUAAUGCACUAUGUUUCUGUUCUUUUCUUUCUCCCUUUUUCCUCUAUAUUUCUAAGUGUUAUCUGAAUUGUCUCCAUUGAGUUUUAUUGAUGAUUGAUCUUGUUAGUAUGCUAAUUUCUUUAGUGUCUUUGGUUUCUCUAUUUAAUCUGAUCUGUAUGAGUUGUCUAUUGUUUUUAUUAUGUAUUGAAUAUGGUCUUUGUUCUUGAUUAUUUACAAAUUGGCUCUAUGGGUAUUGGUGACUGUGCUUAAAUAUUUAUAAAAUAAACUCAAAAAAUCAGAAGAGUAGAAUCUGGUACAUGCUGUACAUUUAAAAAUAUAUAAUUUUAUUGUAUAUUAUUGUAAUUUAAACAUUUAUGCAAUAUUGACAUUCUU
This is a non-coding RNA of Pelobates cultripes (western spadefoot toad), 1538 nucleotides long. Lineage: Eukaryota; Metazoa; Chordata; Amphibia; Anura; Pelobatidae. The record is from the annotation of a GenBank genome assembly.